This 129-nucleotide small nuclear RNA is filed under the name Trichuris muris. Its description in RNAcentral is "snRNA TMUE_0100000642". It matches the Rfam family "U11 spliceosomal RNA". The record is from RNAcentral. Lineage: Eukaryota; Metazoa; Nematoda; Enoplea; Trichinellida; Trichuridae.
AGAAAGGGCUCGUACAAAUGUAGGCCGUGGUCGCCGUUGACGCCACGGUCAGGAAUCGCAAUCAAGAGAUUCCUCGAGCAAAAUUUUUGGAAUAGGGGCCGACUGGGAUCGCCUGUCGCGGUCGGUCCU